GAUGAACGCUGGCGGCGUGCCUAACACAUGCAAGUCGAACGAAGCACUGCGGAAAGAGACUUCGGUCAAUGGAAGCUUUGACUUAGUGGCGGACGGGUGAGUAACGCGUGAGGAACCUGCCUCAAAGAGGGGGACAACAGUUGGAAACGACUGCUAAUACCGCAUAAGCCCACGGGUCGGCAUCGACUAGAGGGAAAAGGAGCAAUCCGCUUUGAGAUGGCCUCGCGUCCGAUUAGCUAGUUGGUGAGGUAGUGGCCCACCAAGGCGACGAUCGGUAGCCGGACUGAGAGGUUGAACGGCCACAUUGGGACUGAGACACGGCCCAGACUCCUACGGGAGGCAGCAGUGGGGAAUAUUGCACAAUGGGGGAAACCCUGAUGCAGCAACGCCGCGUGAGUGAUGACGGUCUUCGGAUUGUAAAACUCUGUCUUUAGGGACGAUAAUGACGGUACCUAAGGAGGAAGCCAACGGCUAAACUACGUG
RNAcentral lists this ribosomal RNA (483 nucleotides) under uncultured bacterium. Its description in RNAcentral is "bacterial SSU rRNA". It matches the Rfam family "Bacterial small subunit ribosomal RNA", at positions 28 to 507 of the family's 1533-position model. The record is from RNAcentral.